Molecule: unclassified non-coding RNA, 443 nt
Filed under: Hevea brasiliensis (rubber tree)
Lineage: Eukaryota; Viridiplantae; Streptophyta; Magnoliopsida; Malpighiales; Euphorbiaceae
Source: RNAcentral
AAUUCAUUGAUAUUGGUCGGAUUGCGUCCAUCCAGAACAACCAUAGGCCUGUUGACUCUGCCAAGAAAGGCCAGAGGGUGGCCAUUAAGAUAGUUGGGUCUAACUCUGAGGAACAACAGAAGAUGUUUGGCAGGCAUUUUGAAAUCGAAGAUGAGCUUGUUAGCAAAGUCUCGAGAAGAUCCAUUGACAUCCUCAAGGCCAAUUUCCGGAACGACUUGUCUAUUGAAGAUUGGAGGCUAGUUAAAACAUUGAAGAACUUAUUCAAGAUACAGUGAGAUUCGUUGCAAAGCUUUCAAGUAGCUACUGCUUGGCUUUUUGUGGCACUGCGUUGGGGCUCAACAGUUCAUCAUUGCAAGAAACACUGCUUUUGUUGGGACUCAUAAUCAUAAAGGAUGUAAAUGCACUGAGAAUUUUGAUAGUGUUGGGACUGUUGGCCAAUCUCA